This 207-nucleotide ribosomal RNA is filed under the name uncultured bacterium. Its description in RNAcentral is "partial 16S ribosomal RNA". It matches the Rfam family "Bacterial small subunit ribosomal RNA", at positions 568 to 774 of the family's 1533-position model. The record is from RNAcentral.
UAGCGUAGGUGGUUGGUUAAGUUUGAGGUGAAAGCUCGAGCUCAACUCGGAAAAUGCCUUGAAGACUAUCUGACUAGAGGAUUGGAGGGGAGAUUGGAAUUCUCGGUGUAGCAGUGAAAUGCGUAGAUAUCGAGAGGAACACCAGUGGCGAAGGCGAAUCUCUGGACAAUUCCUGACACUGAGGCACGAAAGCCAAGGGAGCAAACG